AGCUCAUGAAAAUUAUGUCUUCUGGUUGGUGUUGCCCACCUCAUACUAGCAAGGACAAAGCAAUCCCUUGUUUACCCCAGCUUGGCUUUUGGUCAGUGCCAUGCCUGGUUCAUGCCUUGGACACAUGG
This is a small nucleolar RNA of Cynocephalus volans (Philippine flying lemur), 128 nucleotides long. RefSeq annotates it as small nucleolar RNA SNORA48. The record is from RefSeq and is a predicted model, not a curated record. NCBI's taxonomy places the organism in Eukaryota, Metazoa, Chordata, Mammalia, Dermoptera, Cynocephalidae. The transcript has a single exon.